RNAcentral lists this long non-coding RNA (225 nucleotides) under Chinchilla lanigera (long-tailed chinchilla). Its description in RNAcentral is "lncRNA (ENSCLAG00000028019.1)". The record is from RNAcentral. Lineage: Eukaryota; Metazoa; Chordata; Mammalia; Rodentia; Chinchillidae.
AAUAUGGAACUAGAGAACAGAUUUAGCCCCAGCCCUGCAGCUGCUUGCUUUCCCGUUUGACCUGAGGACGGCUGGUGCGUGCUCUGCGUGGUGCUGUCCAGCGUGCUGAACUCCUUGUUUUUAAGAACCUUAGUUCCUUCUCUCCUGGAAAACAGCCAUAAUGAAGACACCACAGGAGCUGGCUUGGAAGAUAGGCUGCAGGAUAACCCUGGCCAGCAAAGCGAU